GCAUCAAUGGGGUAGUGGUAACCUGGGUCGUUGCCAUGCGUUUCGCGUAGCUGACUGGACGCGUCGACCCGCCGGGGGUUCGAUUCCCUCUUGAUGCA
Marasmius sp. AFHP31 is the source of this 98-nucleotide non-coding RNA. NCBI's taxonomy places the organism in Eukaryota, Fungi, Basidiomycota, Agaricomycetes, Agaricales, Marasmiaceae. The record is from the annotation of a GenBank genome assembly.